Molecule: ribosomal RNA, 497 nt
Filed under: uncultured bacterium
Lineage: Bacteria
Description: partial 16S ribosomal RNA
Rfam family: Bacterial small subunit ribosomal RNA
Source: RNAcentral
GACGAACGCUGGCGGCGUGCCUAAUACAUGCAAGUUGAGCGAUGAAGCUUGGUGCUUGCACCAAUUUGAAGAGCAGCGAACGGGUGAGUAACGCGUGGGGAAUCUGCCUUUGAGCGGGGGACAACAUUUGGAAACGAAUGCUAAUACCGCAUAACAACUUUAAACAUAAGUUUUAAGUUUGAAAGAUGCAAUUGCAUCACUCAAAGAUGAUCCCGCGUUGUAUUAGCUAGUUGGUGAGGUAAAGGCUCACCAAGGCGAUGAUACAUAGCCGACCUGAGAGGGUGAGCGGCCGCAUUGGGACUGAGACACGGCCCAAACGGCUACGGGAGGCAGCAGUAGGGAAUCUUCGGCAAUGGACGAAAGUCUGACCGAGCAACGCCGCGGGAGUGAAGAAGGUUUUCGGAUCGUAAAACUCUGUUGGUAGGGAAGAACGUUGGUGAGAGUGGAAAGCUCAUCAAGUGACGGUAACUACCCAGAAAGGGACGGCUAACUACGUG